This 307-nucleotide ribosomal RNA is filed under the name uncultured Streptococcus sp. RNAcentral describes it as "bacterial SSU rRNA". It matches the Rfam family "Bacterial small subunit ribosomal RNA", at positions 1076 to 1382 of the family's 1533-position model. Lineage: Bacteria; Bacillati; Bacillota; Bacilli; Lactobacillales; Streptococcaceae. The record is from RNAcentral.
UUGGUUAAGUCCCGCAACGAGACGCAACCCCUACUUGUUAGUUGCCAUCAUUCAGUUGGGCACUCUAGCGAGACUGCCGGUAAUAAACCGGAGGAAGGUGGGGAUGACGUCAAAUCAUCAUGCCCCUUAUGACCUGGGCUACACACGUGCUACAAUGGUUGGUACAACGAGUUGCGAGUCGGUGACGGCGAGCUAAUCUCUUAAAGCCAAUCUCAGUUCGGAUUGUAGGCUGCAACUCGCCUACAUGAAGUCGGAAUCGCUAGUAAUCGCGGAUCAGCACGCCGCGGUGAAUACGUUCCCGGGCCUU